Coniophora puteana RWD-64-598 SS2 is the source of this 103-nucleotide transfer RNA. It matches the Rfam family "tRNA". From Rfam's summary of the family: Transfer RNA (tRNA) molecules are approximately 80 nucleotides in length. Lineage: Eukaryota; Fungi; Basidiomycota; Agaricomycetes; Boletales; Coniophoraceae. The record is from Rfam.
GCUUCCUUGGCUCAGCUGGUUAGAGCGCUGGUCUCAUAGUGACUAUGAGGUUGCAAAGGUAACCGUAAUCCAGAGGUCGCCAGUUCGAUCCUGGCAGGGAGCA